Molecule: small nucleolar RNA, 132 nt
Organism: Xenopus tropicalis (tropical clawed frog)
Lineage: Eukaryota; Metazoa; Chordata; Amphibia; Anura; Pipidae
Source: Ensembl
GCUGAGACUAGAGUCACAUCUUGGCAUUUCUGAUUGCCUUGGUGUGCUAGAGUACUCGGAGAUAAACUACUGGUCUUUAUUCACUGUUUGGAUGUCAUUGUCUUCCAACCAGCCACCUGUUCAGUGACAAGU